UUUUUUUUUAAUUUUUAUGGCUGUACCUGCAACAUAUGUAAAUUCCCAGGUAAGGGGUCGAAUUGGAGCUGGAGAUGCUGGCCUACACCACAGCCACAGCAAUGCCAAAUCCCAGCCACAUCUGAGACCUACACCACAGCUCACGGUAACACCAGAUCCUUAACUCGCUGAGCGAGGCCAGGGAUCAAACCCAUAUCCUCAUGGAUACUAGACGGGCUUGUAACCUCUGAGACACAAUGGGAACUCCCUAAAUUUCUAAUCCCCAUUCCAAAUGUCAUUAUUCUGCAAAAGCCGGGAAGAAUUGAAUAUCUUGUUUAGGAAGUUGCAAAGUGCCUUUCUCCACUGAAAUUCACAGCAAUAAAUGUGGCUUUGGGUUGGCUUGAGUGGACAACAGCUAGAGACAGAGAAGAAAUCCAAAAACCACCUAUGACAGGACAUUGUUUCCUUGCAUGCAAGUGUGGCAGAUCAGGCAAGGCCAGACUUCUCCAGUCUUUGUAUUUGGUGCCAUAAAGCAAACCAUGAGUUAUUCAGGGGAAAAAAAAAUGUUUUGCAAAGCGUAACUACUUAACAGAAGAAAGUUAAACUGAUAAAUUAUUAAGAAGUUUGAAGCAUACAUAUUGUAUUCUCAGAAACUUUAUAGUCCUUAACAUUUUGACCAUGCAACAUUCAAUUGCAAAUAAUUAAUUUGAAGAGAAAUGGAUGUAAUUUUAGAUAACAGUUGGCAAAAUGUUUUAUUGUAAAAUUUGUAAAUAGAAUAAUACAUGUUAGGGAGAAUAUUUGACCUAGAGUGGAGACAAUGAGCAUGAAAAUAAGGAUUUCUCUUAUCUGUAAGCCCAGAAGGAAUUUUUCCUCUUUCAAUUAAAUAAUCAGGGGCAGGAGCGGGUAGCGUGAGGAGGACAAUAUCCCAGUUCAUCAGACUCCUGCAGCCCAUCAGAAACAUCUUUUAGCUUUAUAAUCUCAACAUCCAUUAACUAAUAAUCAAUCCAUUAAUUAAUAAUUAAUACAUUAAUCAAUAAUUGAUCCAUUAAUUAAUGUCUUUAGCUUUAUAAUAUCAACAUCCAUUAAUUAAUACAUUAUUUAAUAAAUUAAUCUAAUCAUAACAAUAAUGAAUAUCCUGCAUUGUGUCCUUCUAUGUGCUUGCUGUGCUUUGAGACUUUUAUGUAGUUUUAUUUAAUUUAAUCAUCACAAUAACCUCAUGACAAAAGUAUUAUCGUGCCUUGUACUGGAUCAGAAAAUCCCCCCUAAAUUUAUGUUUUUCCCAGACCUUCAUUAAUGGGAUCUUAUUUGGAAAUAGGGUUGUUGCAAAUGUAAUUAAUUAAGAUGAGGUCAUACUGAAAUAAGGUGGGCCCUUUGUGAUGGGUGCCCUUUUAAGACUAGGGAAGAGGAGUUCUCACCGAGGUGCAGCAGAAAUGAAUCUGGCUAGCAUCCAUGAGGUUGCAGGUUCGAUCUCUCGCAUUUCUCAAUGGGUUAAGGAUCUGGCAUUGCCGUGAACUGUGGGAAUAGAUUUCUGUUGUUUCAAGCCACCCACUUUAUGGUAAUUUUGUUGUUGCAGCCCUAGGAAACUCAUAUAGACUUUAGUAAUAUGCCAUGUUCAUGAUUAUUAUGUUGAACAAACAGUUUCAAAGGGUAUCAAUAAUAGAAUAGUUCAGAAAAUAACUCAUCAAUUAGCUAAUAUUUGAACAGACAAUUGCAUGAUUAGGUUACCGAAGGGAGAAUAAAAUAGAAGAUUGCUAAAUGCAAAAUGGACUGACUCUACAAGACAUUUAUUGUGCAUGAAAGGGGGGAAAUGACAAUUCUGAGAAAAGGUACCUUAUAUGGUGUGUCCCAGUACUCUUUAAAUAGGCCUCUUUUCUGUCUCCUUCUCCUUCUGGGAAUACAUAGACAAGAGAAGUAUUAAGAAUGAUACAAAAUUAAAGAAUAGGAAAAAAAAUGUUUCUUUUCAUAAGAAGAACUCCUAGAAUUUACUCUCUUAAUAACUUACAUAUAUAGCAUAGGGCAGUGUUAAUUAUACUUAUCAGGUUGUAUGUUACAUCCCUGGUACUCAUUUGUGAUACAGCAAGAAGAUGAAGUUUAGAGUCAGGUGAUCUGUGUUUAACUUGUGUUCUGCAACUUACUAGUUAGAGGCAACUCUAAAGUUCAGUCCCCUCGCCUGUGGAAUAAAGAUGGUAAACAUAUUCCUGUCUGGUUUGCUUGAUUCAGGCAUUUUCCAAGGAGGCAGAAUGUUCGGUGCUGAAAUGGGGCCAGUCCCAGGCAAACCCAGACAUUCUAUUGGCUGUAAACCUCAAAGCUGACAACAAAUAUGAAAGUAAGUGCCUAACAUUUGCUCUCUAAAUAUUAAAUUUCUUCCUACAGACUCAAGGGUCAAUCGCUAGACUGUUUUGGCCUCUGUCUCAUCAACCAGUGCUUGCACCUCCUCUAGCCAUUCUGGUCUCUGACUGGAAACAAAACGGGUUGUCUCCAAAUGCCUGGGGCACACAGGCUCCUCGGGGUGGGUGUGAGGGAAAAUGUCUGUUUCCUUCUGGACACUGUGGUUUAUUUUGGCUUCUCUCUGCAUCAACACAUCUGAAGCUGAAGUAGCAGGAUGAUUUUUAAAUGCUUGCUCAGACAGAGUUCGGAAGGUCACUGUUUAAGCCCUUGGGUCAUUUUACCAGAUGUUUCCAUUCUAAGUAAUGACCACCACUGUUACUAGUGACAAGGUAGAAAGAACAAGGGCUUUGUGCUUUGUGGUGUUUCUCUAUAAUUAUGCAUUCAAGUCCACUAAUCAUCUUUUUACCACAUUUAACCAAGUGGGACAAUAUCGUCUACAGUUCAAUUUAGCUAUUCAUGUAAAAGUGAUGCAUUUUCAUGAAGCUAAAUCCAUCAUGUCCAACAUCUGUGACCCUCCAGAGGUCUGUCCUGUCACUCAUUCUCGCUUAGCCAUGUUCCCCGUGUUCCCAUGCACUCCUGCUGUCAUAUCUGCCCUCCGUGCAUUUUGUAUCAAUGAAGGUGAAGCAGGAGAAAAAUCCUCAGGGUCACUAACAUCCUGGGUUCUUGCCUCAAUUUGCCAGAUUCUGAUCAAGGAAAGACUGAUGGCAGCCCGUGAUAGAGAGAAAGGAAUAAUGACAGUUUCAUGUUUCAAUUUAAUUAGACAAAUGCUUCUUCUAUCCUUUAUUUGGAAAGAUUAGCACUAAAUGGCAUCAAACACUAAAGAUGAAUAAAACACAAUCCCUGCCAUUACAAAUAGAAAGGAAGACAAGCAUGGAAAUGACUAAACUACAAAGCAGGCUGCGAGGUGCAGCAGAUGAAAAGUGCAGUGCGAUCCCUGAUGGUGACAGUGAAUCUAUUUGCAGGGCUGAAGAAGCAAAGCCAUCCCAGAGGGGAUGUGUGUCCCACACCUUGAGGGACAAGCUGAGAAACCUACUGGAAACCUGUCAAUAGUCAUGCACGAGCGUGUGUGUGUGUGUGUGUGUGUGUGUGUGUGUAAAUAUUACUGGGGGAAAAGAGUGGAGAUGGACGUCUUCAUUCACUCAACAAAUACUGAGUAAGUGUCUCCAGUGUGUCAGACAUUCAAAGUGUAGACAUCAAUAUUUGGUUCCUUCUUUCCUUAAGACAACAUUUUAGUUGGAUCACAAGUGUAAGAAAUAAUUCCAACUCAAUAGGACUACAACUAAGAUUGCAACAGAUACCUAGACCAGUGAGUUGAUGAGCACAGGACAGCUAGGAAGGAAUAGUAAACUGAGAACAUCCUGGAAAAUUCCAAAGUGUGCUACAAGACAGUAAAAGAUAGGAAACUUUAGUAGAGACCCUGUGGCCACCUGCUCUCCAAGGAAGCCCCUCCCAGCUCCUUCUUUCUCAACAAUUUGUAAUAAGGCACCCACAUUACUUGUUUCAGAGGAUAUACAACCAUUUAAAAUCAGACU
RNAcentral lists this long non-coding RNA (3899 nucleotides) under Sus scrofa (pig). RNAcentral describes it as "lncRNA (ENSSSCG00055026038.1)". Lineage: Eukaryota; Metazoa; Chordata; Mammalia; Artiodactyla; Suidae. The record is from RNAcentral.